GACCAAGACAGUGGUAGCUUGGUAAUAGUGAGGGAGCUAUCGAUGUUCCCUCAUAAAUAGGAGGAUCAGGAGAAUCUUGCCUUGGGAUUUCAGGUUUCACCUUGAAGAUGUAGCUUCUUUCUGGGAACUUCUGUUCACCCAACAAAGGAAGGGGAAGGUCUGCUGGCCUUGAAUUAGCGUGUGCUCGGAAUCCAGAUCCUGUCACCUUCGUUCCUCGAGCCUUGGGAGGAGGUCCUGGAAACUUCCCUUUGUCCAACACAGCAGACUGUACAUCGCAGCAGUUUUCAUUUGUUCAUAUGAUGAAGAACUUGAAUUUAUCUUCUAAAACAUUUCCUCGAAGCCCUGAGAUAAUAAUAGUAGGGGAUAAACUAAGAAAUUUCCAAUAAAGA
Non-coding RNA from Peromyscus maniculatus bairdii (prairie deer mouse), 389 nucleotides. The record is from RefSeq and is a predicted model, not a curated record. NCBI's taxonomy places the organism in Eukaryota, Metazoa, Chordata, Mammalia, Rodentia, Cricetidae.